CGUCAAAUCAUCAUGCCCCUUACGUCCUGGGCUGCAAACGUAAUACAAUGGCGUUUAACAGAGGGAUGCGAAGCCGCGAGGUGGAGCAAAUCCCUAAAAGGCGUCUCAGUUCAGAUCGCAGGCUGCAACCCGCCUGCGUGAAGUCGGAAUUGCUAGUAAUCGCGGAUCAGCAUGCCGCGGUGAAUACGUUCCCGGGGCUU
Molecule: ribosomal RNA, 200 nt
Filed under: uncultured prokaryote
Description: partial 16S ribosomal RNA
Rfam family: Bacterial small subunit ribosomal RNA
Source: RNAcentral